ACGAAUAUGUUGAAAUUGGUAAACAAUCUUCUCUUAAGAAGAAGUGGGUGUAAACCCUUAAGAGUUCAAGUCUCUUUGUUCGUA
RNAcentral lists this transfer RNA (84 nucleotides) under Cyclocybe aegerita. RNAcentral describes it as "tRNA-Leu". It matches the Rfam family "tRNA". Rfam says of the family: Transfer RNA (tRNA) molecules are approximately 80 nucleotides in length. Their secondary structure includes four short double-helical elements and three loops (D, anti-codon, and T loops). Further hydrogen bonds mediate the characteristic L-shaped molecular structure. tRNAs have two regions of fundamental functional importance: the anti-codon, which is responsible for specific mRNA codon recognition, and the 3' end, to which the tRNAs corresponding amino acid is attached (by aminoacyl-tRNA synthetases). tRNAs cope with the degeneracy of the genetic code in two manners: having more than one tRNA (with a specific anti-codon) for a particular amino acid; and 'wobble' base-pairing, i.e. permitting non-standard base-pairing at the 3rd anti-codon position. The record is from RNAcentral. Lineage: Eukaryota; Fungi; Basidiomycota; Agaricomycetes; Agaricales; Hemipholiotaceae.